Molecule: ribosomal RNA, 253 nt
Filed under: uncultured bacterium
Lineage: Bacteria
Description: partial 16S ribosomal RNA
Rfam family: Bacterial small subunit ribosomal RNA
Source: RNAcentral
UACGUAGGGUGCGAGCGUUAAUCGGAAUUACUGGGCGUAAAGCGUGCGCAGGCGGUUCCUCAAGUCCGGUGUGAAAGCCCCGGGCUCAACCUGGGAAUGGCAGUGGAAACUAGGGGACUGGAAUCUGGCAGAGGGGGGUGGAAUGCCGCGUGUAGCAGUGAAAUGCGUAGAGAUGCGGCGGAACACCGAUGGCGAAGGCAGCCCCCUGGGCUGAGAUUGACGCUCAGGCACGAAAGCGUGGGGAGCAAACAGG